RNAcentral lists this non-coding RNA (69 nucleotides) under unclassified sequences. Its description in RNAcentral is "RAGATH-18 RNA". It matches the Rfam family "RAGATH-18 RNA". Rfam says of the family: Actinobacteria, Firmicutes, Fusobacteria, Thermotogae (1 example). Nearby to self-cleaving ribozyme genes The record is from Rfam by way of RNAcentral.
CUUGUGGACUGUCAAACAGAUGUUAGUAGUAUUAGAAAUAAUAUGAGGACAGACAGGUUGAAACAAGAA